Molecule: ribosomal RNA, 281 nt
Filed under: uncultured bacterium
Lineage: Bacteria
Description: partial 16S ribosomal RNA
Rfam family: Bacterial small subunit ribosomal RNA
Source: RNAcentral
UGCCAGCAGCCGCGGUAAUACGUAGGGGGCAAGCGUUAUCCGGAAUCACUGGGUGUAAAGGGUGCGUAGGCGGUACGAUAAGUCAGAUGUGAUAAACCAAGGGCUCAACCUUUGGACGUGCAUUUGAAACUAUCGAACUAGAGUAUGGGAGAGGAAAGUGGAAUUCCUAGUGUAGCGGUGAAAUGCGUAGAUAUUAGGAGGAACACCAGUAGCGAAGGCGACUUUCUGGAACAUAACUGACGCUGACGAACGAUGGCGUGUGCGGAGAACAGGGUUUGAUG